Long non-coding RNA from Cicer arietinum (chickpea), 893 nucleotides. RefSeq lists it as uncharacterized. NCBI's taxonomy places the organism in Eukaryota, Viridiplantae, Streptophyta, Magnoliopsida, Fabales, Fabaceae. The record is from RefSeq and is a predicted model, not a curated record.
UCCUUUCUUCUUCCCUCAGCCCUCACCCCUCUGACGCCCCUCAGCCCUUGCCCCUCAGCCCUUGCCCCUCUGACGUCCUUUAAGUAAUCUCUCUCUCGUCCCUCUCACGCUCCUUAAACUUUUGCCUCUCGUCCCUCUCACGCUCCUUAAACUUUUGCCUCUCGUCCCUCUCCCGCCCCUCAAGCUUCUCUCUCAUCCCUCCCUCAUCUCCCUGGCUUCUCUCUCGUCGCUCGCUCGUCCCUAAGGCUUCUCUCUCGUCCAUCUCUCGACCCUCAAUCUUCUCUCUCGUCCAUCUCUCGACCCUCAAUCUUCUCUCUCGUCUACCUUCUCUUCACUCGUCAAUUUUCUCAUCUCGUUAUUCCUCCGCGAUGGAGAAAGGUUGGCGACAAUGAUCCAGGAAAAUUAGAUUGUGCUAUGUUGAUUAUAAACAAUUGGUGGUAGAGAAUAUGUAGUCUCAAGAGAUGAUUUCAAUUCUUGAUGGUGGCUGAGAAUAUGCAGUCUCAUGGAUCCCCUCAACUUCAUAUGUUAAUUUUGAAGGUGAUUUGGAAGUAAGUAUCUCUUUUGAGAAUGUUGGGGAUGAAUUUGCAAAAAAUAUUAUUGGUAAAUAAUAAAUUGUAUUUGUUGCGAUGUUGUAGUAUUUUUCCUAUGAUAUAAUAUACAUUUGUUAACAAGUGAGUCUAAUGUGAACAGUUAUGCAAAAUCAACAUCAAAUAUAAUUACGAGAAUGAAAGAUAAAUCGAAGAAGCGAGUUAAAAGUGUAGUCAAUCAAAGUUCGUUUGUGAACUCGAAUGAAAAGAAGAAAAAAAAUAAGGCUUUGUAAAGUGUGUUGUUGGCAUAUUUUGUGUUGGUUGAACAUUUUAUAUAACGAUGUAGUUGAUGGCGUUUGAACCACA